UGUGGGGUGGGAGUCAGUUGAGGUAAAAGGUCCAAUACCCGAACUCGAGUGCACUCUAGGAUAGGAGAAUGGCAUAGUCUUGUUGACUGGUGUGGAGUAUUCCUUAGCCAGUUGACUUGCGAGACCAUUCACUUGGUGGAGGUCAUGUUGAACUAAUAAUGUCACACAAGUUAUUUGUGGUUAGGCAUUAUUCUUUCAAUCAUGUGCCGCAGAAGCCAAGGACCUUAGUUUACCAAACCC
This 240-nucleotide long non-coding RNA is filed under the name Lathyrus oleraceus (garden pea). RNAcentral's name for it is "Pisum sativum (pea) long non-coding RNA (PSAT_LNC041100)". The record is from RNAcentral. Lineage: Eukaryota; Viridiplantae; Streptophyta; Magnoliopsida; Fabales; Fabaceae.